RNAcentral lists this long non-coding RNA (205 nucleotides) under Nicotiana benthamiana. RNAcentral describes it as "long non-coding RNA (NBEN_LNC000180)". The record is from RNAcentral. Lineage: Eukaryota; Viridiplantae; Streptophyta; Magnoliopsida; Solanales; Solanaceae.
GGUUGACGGAGAUCAAGAAUGAGAUGGAGCUCAAUGGUCAUACCCUCAUCGAUGAGACAUUCAUUGAAAAGGUACUUAAUACUUUACCUAUGAAGUUUGAUUAUAUUGUGGCAGUAAUUCAAGAGACCAAGGAUCUUUCAACAUUAAGUACCGAGGAGCUUCUGGGCUCAUUAAUUCUUCAUGAGAAUAGAAUUAAUGGGAAAUU